Molecule: ribosomal RNA, 391 nt
Filed under: Macaca mulatta (Rhesus monkey)
Lineage: Eukaryota; Metazoa; Chordata; Mammalia; Primates; Cercopithecidae
Description: 12S ribosomal RNA
Rfam family: Bacterial small subunit ribosomal RNA
Source: RNAcentral
GCUUGGCCUUAAACCUCAAUAGUUAAAUAACAAAACUACUUGCCAGAAUACUACAAGCAACAGCUUAAAACUCAAAGGACUUGACGGUGCUUUACAUCCCCCUAGAGGAGCCUGUUCCAUAAUCGAUAAACCCCGAUCCACCCCACCCCCUCUUGCUCAGCCUAUAUACCGCCAUCUUCAGCAAACCCUGAUGAAGGUUACGAAGUGAGCGCAAUUGCCCUCCACCGCAAAAACGUUAGGUCAAGGUGUAGCCCAUGAGACGGUAAAAAAUGGGCUACAUUUUCCACCUCAGAAAACCCCACGAUAACUCUUAUGAAACCUAAGAGUCCAAGGAGGAUUUAGCAGUAAAUUAAGAAUAGAGUGCUUAAUUGAACUAGUCCAUAAAGCACGC